UACGAAGGGGGCUAGCGUUGCUCGGAAUUACUGGGCGUAAAGGGCGCGUAGGCGGCCUGCUAAGUCGAACGUGAAAUCCCUGGGCUCAACCCAGGAACUGCGUCCGAUACUGGUUGGCUUGAAUCCGGGAGAGGGAUGCGGAAUUCCAGGUGUAGCGGUGAAAUGCGUAGAUAUCUGGAGGAACACCGGUGGCGAAGGCGGCAUCCUGGACCAAUAUUGACGCUGAGGAGCGAAAGCUAGGGGAGCAAACGGG
RNAcentral lists this ribosomal RNA (253 nucleotides) under uncultured bacterium. RNAcentral describes it as "partial 16S ribosomal RNA". It matches the Rfam family "Bacterial small subunit ribosomal RNA", at positions 524 to 776 of the family's 1533-position model. The record is from RNAcentral.